UACGGAGGGUGCGAGCGUUGUCCGGAAUCACUGGGCGUAAAGGGCGCGUAGGUGGCGCGGGUAGUCGUCGGUGAAAGCUCAGGGCUCAACCCUGAGUCGGCCGGUGAUACUCCCGUGCUCGAGUGUGGUAGAGGCCAAUGGAAUUCCGGGUGUAGCGGUGGAAUGCGUAGAGAUCCGGAAGAACACCGGUGGCGAAGGCGGUUGGCUGGGCCACAACUGACACUGAUGCGCGACAGCGUGGGGAGCAAAC
Molecule: ribosomal RNA, 250 nt
Filed under: uncultured bacterium
Lineage: Bacteria
Description: partial 16S ribosomal RNA
Rfam family: Bacterial small subunit ribosomal RNA
Source: RNAcentral